ACAACGGCUCUUUUCAGAGCCACCCAAAUUGCUUGGAAGAACUGA
Molecule: non-coding RNA, 45 nt
Organism: Heterocephalus glaber (naked mole-rat)
Lineage: Eukaryota; Metazoa; Chordata; Mammalia; Rodentia; Bathyergidae
Source: Rfam